AGAGACAGCAGUCGCCACGGGAAUACGAAGGGUGCAAGCGUUAAUCGGAAUUACUGGGCGUAAAGCGCGCGUAGGUGGUUUGGUAAGAUGGAUGUGAAAUCCCCGGGCUCAACCUGGGAACUGCAUCCAUAACUGCCUGACUAGAGUACGGUAGAGGGUGGUGGAAUUUCCUGUGUAGCGGUGAAAUGCGUAGAUAUAGGAAGGAACACCAGUGGCGAAGGCGACCACCUGGACUGAUACUGACACUGAGGUGCGAAAGCGUGGGGAGCAAACAGGAUUAGAUACCCCCGUAGUCCCUGUCUCUUAUAC
Molecule: ribosomal RNA, 309 nt
Filed under: uncultured bacterium
Lineage: Bacteria
Description: partial 16S ribosomal RNA
Rfam family: Bacterial small subunit ribosomal RNA
Source: RNAcentral